This 163-nucleotide ribosomal RNA is filed under the name Ainsliaea latifolia. Its description in RNAcentral is "5.8S ribosomal RNA". It matches the Rfam family "5.8S ribosomal RNA". From Rfam's summary of the family: 5.8S ribosomal RNA (5.8S rRNA) is a component of the large subunit of the eukaryotic ribosome. It is transcribed by RNA polymerase I as part of the 45S precursor that also contains 18S and 28S rRNA. The record is from RNAcentral. Lineage: Eukaryota; Viridiplantae; Streptophyta; Magnoliopsida; Asterales; Asteraceae.
AACGACUCUCGGCAACGGAUAUCUCGGCUCACGCAUCGAUGAAGAACGUAGCAAAAUGCGAUACUUGGUGUGAAUUGCAGAAUCCCGUGAACCAUCGAGUUUUUGAACGCAAGUUGCGCCCGAAGCCAUCCGGUCGAGGGCACGUCUGCCUGGGCGUCACGCA